UACGAAGGGGGCUAGCGUUGUUCGGAAUUACUGGGCGUAAAGGGCGCGUAGGCGGCGUGUCAAGUCAGGCGUGAAAGCCCAGAGCUCAACUCUGGAAUGGCCUUUGAGACUAGAGAACUAGGGUACGGGAGAGGUGAGUGGAAUUCCGAGUGUAGAGGUGAAAUUCGUAGAUAUUCGGAAGAACACCAGUGGCGAAGGCGGCUCACUGGCCCGUUACCGACGCUCAGGCGCGACAGCGUGGGGAGCAAACAGG
This 253-nucleotide ribosomal RNA is filed under the name uncultured bacterium. RNAcentral's name for it is "partial 16S ribosomal RNA". It matches the Rfam family "Bacterial small subunit ribosomal RNA", at positions 524 to 776 of the family's 1533-position model. The record is from RNAcentral.